RNAcentral lists this long non-coding RNA (488 nucleotides) under Vigna radiata. Its description in RNAcentral is "long non-coding RNA (VRAD_LNC012770)". Lineage: Eukaryota; Viridiplantae; Streptophyta; Magnoliopsida; Fabales; Fabaceae. The record is from RNAcentral.
AUUUACCUUAAGUUGGGUUGAGAAUAAUUGUAUGUGUUGAAAAGGUUCAAGUUUGGGGUUGUAUGGGGAAAGUGAAAGGCAGAAGAAAAAGCAUUGAGUUCAAAAGUUGAAAAAGAAAAAUGCAUGAGAAAAAGAAAUCAAAAGAAGAAAAGAGAAAAAGCAUGUAAAGUGAGCUCAAUGUAAAAGGAAAAAGGGAAGAAGUUGGGAAUGAAUGAGAUUGGUUAAAAGGAGAGUGUGCUUGAACUUUGAAUGAUGAUUUAAACUCUCUUAACUCAAGGAUUUUGUAUUCUAGAAAAACAUUUUUUCUUGAUAGCCCAGCCACAUUACAAGCCUUGGAAAAAGUCCUUGUGAUGACAUUUGGAUGUGAAGAUUUUGAUUGUUUUAGAUGAAGGGAAAUAUUGUUUGAUGUGACAUGUGAACAAUAGAGAGUAGAGUGACCUCCUAAAACACUUGAGUGAUUGAGUGAAACACUUGAUUGGUGAGAAUUG